Molecule: long non-coding RNA, 2518 nt
Organism: Platichthys flesus (European flounder)
Lineage: Eukaryota; Metazoa; Chordata; Actinopteri; Pleuronectiformes; Pleuronectidae
Exons: 3
Source: RefSeq, a predicted model, not a curated record
CUCAUGUGGAGUUUAAGCAGAGAAGCUGGACUAUUGUGGUCUGUUUUGUCUCCGCGGUGAGUGUUUGAGGACUGGGAGCACCCUGCCAUAGUGUGAGCGUGUGUGUGUGUGUGUGUGUGUGCUGAGUGUGUGUCUGGUGAGUUAGAGGACUCGAAACUCUUGAUUGAAACUCAGGUAUUACAGCAGCUGUGACAGAGAAUGAAUGGUUUGAGUUGCCAAAGACAGACAAAGGUUUGCGUCUCUACUUUUCAAGUGAGCGAUGUGAGUUUUACAUUAGGAGAUCUGUUUUCAUGUUAGUGGUAAAACUUCUUCCUGUUUUUUACAAUUGACUCAACAUUUUCAAAAAUGACAUCAGCUCAGACAUGCGCUCUGGUUGGUUGGCUCAGCUUGGGAUACCCGCUCUAAUGCCACUGAUUGGUCCGCAAGCGGGCUAUAGAGAAUGUUGGCAAUUUAUGAACAGAUGGAUUUAUGUUUUCUCUCCUAAUGUUUGAGGUCAUCUAGAGGCGACAGCUCGCUGAUCCAAAAUCAGCGCUGGUGUUCGACUCGCUCGCUGGUGUGAGAAAUCAGAGGGAGACCUGGGAAAGAUGCCAAGAGAUGAAAAAAAAAAGUGACAUUCUGUGAAAUAUCCACCCUCCCCGCUCAUUGAUUCAUUUAGCUGAACUCUGGCAAACCCCUCCCAUUGAGGAGGGCUGACAUUAUCCCAGAUGGAGGGAGUGGACGAAUUGAGAGAAGGAUGGAGAGAGAGCAGGCUGAAUAAAGAUGUCGGAAAAGACAGUAAGUCUCCCCGUACUCCUCUUUCGGGUCGAGAGAACUUGACAACAGUUUUCCAGCAGUUUGGAGUUAGAAUCUCAAAGCUUGUUUGGGUUUUCUUGACGUAUCGUUUGUUAAAAAAAAAAAAAAAAAAAAAGAUGGGGGGGAUGGAACAAAAUGGCAGAAGUGUCAGGAUCUGCUUGUCUCUCUCGCCAUCUGUCUGUUGCUGCAGGACUGUAAUGUUGUGUACAAGGCAAGACGUGUAUUUUGGAUGUUGGAUGAUUAAGGUACAGAUUCUCAGAGUGCGCCCAGCGGCCGUCCCACGGUUCAGUGUCCCGUUUCUGCCUGGGACAGUUUAUGCCUCUUCUCUCUCUUUUUCUUGUCUUUCUGUCUCUCACUGUCUUUCUUAACUCUUUUUCUCUGACUCCUCCUCUUUCUGUUCCCCCUCUCUUGCUACACCAUGUCCCUCCCUUCCUCUUUCUGUGUCUCUACACCUCCCUCCUCCCCUCCUUUUUCUCUCCUUCCCUCUUGGCAGCAGUGCCAAAGUGGGCAGGCGGACCGAGGCAAACACAGCACAGGGCAGAGCAGAGGGCGAUACAAAGGCUGGCGAACUGAUUCUGUGUGUGUUGGUGUUUUGAACUGUCCUGAGUCUGUGCGUUUGUCCUUUUGUCUCCGUUGUGAUCAUACGCAACUGUAAGUGUCUGUGUUACCGUGAGUCCAUUGUGAGUCUGUUUUGGAGCUGAUCUCUUUUUCUUGUCCACAGUGUGUUUGACACUGUGGCUUGUGUGUGUGUGUGUGUGUGUGUGUGUGUGUGUGUGUGAGCAGACGUCCCUCUGUCACCCUGUGUACGGACAGACGCACUAACGCCAGUAGGAGGGGAUUGUGGGAAGGGGGUGUAGCUCUCAGAGGGUGUGCUAUGCUCCUCUCUUUUCCCUUCUUCCCGCCAUCACGGCCCUCUUCUCCUCCAGUCCUCUGGCCCAGCUCGCCGCUCACAUACAGGCUCCAGGACAGCAGGGUCGGACAGGGUGGUAAACCGUCUUUCUGUGGCUUUUCCUACUGAACAGGUGUCUCUUUGUAGACGGGCAGGAGGAAGGACAGGCCUCCUCGGUUACUUGCUGACCUCAGAGCGACUCCCGAGCCAGAGAGCUGUUGUAACGUUCAGGAGUUUUACCUUCGAGGAUCUCAGCUGCUGGAGGAACAAGGAUGCUGUCCUUGGGGCUGAGGUAGUAGAUUGAAUAGUUGUGGGGUUGUGUAACCUUCUUUUGAGAUAACUAUACAAUCUACUGUCUUUCCCAAGGAGACAGCUAAGUCAGCCGCUCGCCGACUGUCAUCUCCAGAUGUGCAAUUACCCUGUCCAAACAAUUGCGGCAUAUAAAAUAAUGCAUCGUGACAGGCAUUGUUUGUUUGUUUGUUUGUUUUAUGCUAGAGCAGGUAAAUUAGGUGUCCUGUUCCCCGACAGUCGACCAUGUGGUGUCCUCGAUUUGGGCUCUGUCAGGGUGAGGUAGUAGGUUGUAUAGUUUGGUGGGUGGGAUUACUCCCUGCUCAGGUGAUAACUAUACAGUCUAUUGCCUUCCCUGAGGAGUUCGCUGAACACUCAUCAAUAUUCAACACACUCUCAUCCCGGCCCAGGUAUCACGUUUAUUCGUCCAUAUGAAAUAAAAAGGAUCAGGUACACAUGUGCUGCAAAGGAUGUUAAAUGGAUUGAACAUGUCAUGUGGCUUUCUUAAGAUAUAUGUACAUCUCAAUAAAAGUUAUACUUGCUUCAAAA